GACGGAGGAUGCAAGCGUUAUCCGGAAUGAUUGGGCGUAAAGCGUCCGCAGGUGGCAGUUCAAGUCUGCUGUCAAGACCGGGGCUUAACUUCGGAAAGGCAGUGGAAACUGAACAGCUAGAGUAUGGUAGGGGCAGAGGGAAUUCCUGGUGUAGCGGUGAAAUGCGUAGAGAUCAGGAGGAACACCAAUGGCGAAGGCAGCACUCUGGGACGUGACUGACGCUGAGACGCGAAAGCGUGGGGAGCAAACAGG
This 252-nucleotide ribosomal RNA is filed under the name uncultured bacterium. RNAcentral describes it as "partial 16S ribosomal RNA". It matches the Rfam family "Bacterial small subunit ribosomal RNA", at positions 524 to 776 of the family's 1533-position model. The record is from RNAcentral.